AGAGUUUGAUCAUGGCUCAGAAUCAACGCUGGCGGCGUGCCUAACACAUGCAAGUCGAACGCGAAAGGGGAGCAAUCCCUGAGUAGAGUGGCAAACGGGUGAGUAACACGUGGGUGACCUGCCUUCGAGUGGGGGAUAACGUUCCGAAAGGAACGCUAAUACCGCAUGACAUCCUGCUCUUGGACGAGCGGAGAUCAAAGCUGGGGAUCGCAAGACCUGGCGCUUGAAGAGGGGCCCGCGCCUGAUUAGCUAGUUGGUGAGGUAACGGCUCACCAAGGCAACGAUCAGUAUCCGGCCUGAGAGGGCGGACGGACACACUGGGACUGAGACACGGCCCAGACUCCUACGGGAGGCAGCAGUGGGGAAUUGUUCGCAAUGGGCGCAAGCCUGACGACGCAACGCCGCGUGGAGGAUGAAGAUCUUCGGGUCGUAAACUCCUGUCGAAUGGGAAGAACGUUUCGCGGAUGAAUAAGCCGCGAAAGUGACGGUACCAUUAAAGGAAGCCCCGGCUAACUCCGUGCCAGCAGCCGCGGUAAUACGGGGGGGGCAAGCGUUGUUCGGAAUUACUGGGCGUAAAGGGCUCGUAGGUGGCCAACUAAGUCAGACGUGAAAUCCCCAGGCUUAACCUGGGAACUGCGUCUGAUACUGGAUGGCUUGAAUUCGGGAGAGGGAUGCAGAAUUCCAGGUGUAGCGGUGAAAUGCGUAGAUAUCUGGAGGAAUACCGGUGGCGAAGGCGGCAUCCUGGACCGAGAUUGACACUGAGGAGCGAAAGCUAGGGGAGCAAACGGGAUUAGAUACCCCGGUAGUCCUAGCCCUAAACGAUGAAUGCUUGGUGUGACGGGUAUCGA
Molecule: ribosomal RNA, 848 nt
Filed under: uncultured Acidobacteriaceae bacterium
Lineage: Bacteria; Pseudomonadati; Acidobacteriota; Terriglobia; Terriglobales; Acidobacteriaceae
Description: bacterial SSU rRNA
Rfam family: Bacterial small subunit ribosomal RNA
Source: RNAcentral